This 468-nucleotide ribosomal RNA is filed under the name uncultured bacterium. RNAcentral describes it as "partial 16S ribosomal RNA". It matches the Rfam family "Bacterial small subunit ribosomal RNA", at positions 28 to 507 of the family's 1533-position model. The record is from RNAcentral.
GACGAACGCUGGCGGCGUGCUUAACACAUGCAAGUCGAACGGAAAGGCCCUGCUUUUGUGGGGUGCUCGAGUGGCGAACGGGUGAGUAACACGUGAGUAACCUGCCCUUGACUUUGGGAUAACUUCAGGAAACUGGGGCUAAUACCGGAUAGGAGCUCCUGCUGCAUGGUGGGGGUUGGAAAGUUUCGGCGGUUGGGGAUGGACUCGCGGCUUAUCAGCUUGGUGGUGGGGUAGUGGCUUACCAAGGCUUUGACGGGUAGCCGGCCUGAGAGGGUGACCGGCCACAUUGGGACUGAGAUACGGCCCAGACUCCUACGGGAGGCAGCAGUGGGGAAUAUUGCACAAUGGGCGGAAGCCUGAUGCAGCAACGCCGCGUGCGGGAUGACGGCCCUCGGGUUGUAAACCGCUUUCGCCUGUGACGAAGCGUGAGUGACGGUAAUGGGUAAAGAAGCACCGGCUAACUACGUG